This is a long non-coding RNA of Corvus hawaiiensis (hawaiian crow), 2888 nucleotides long. RefSeq lists it as uncharacterized. NCBI's taxonomy places the organism in Eukaryota, Metazoa, Chordata, Aves, Passeriformes, Corvidae. The transcript has 4 exons. The record is from RefSeq and is a predicted model, not a curated record.
AACCAGCAUGGGUUUGGCAGUCCACCAGUUAACAGUCUCAGUGUUCGAAACAGAGCGUCUCUUGCUGGCAGCAAAAGAGAAGAAAAAUUAAGAACCCAAAGGAGACUGCUCAUCACAGCUGCAUAUUGAAUAGCUGAGAACCGUAAUGAGUGUGAACCUUCUUCUUGAACUCAUUAGCAAAGCUUCACAAGCUUCAGUGGAACUGCACAGGUGUGCAACAGUGCAGCAUGACUUGAGAUGGCCACAAGUACAAGCCCUGGCAUUGCAUAUAAUCAGGACGGUGCAGAGAAGUCCUCCCAAAAAGGGCAUGAUGAGGGCCCUUCAACAUCUUGUGCCUUAGUCCACAAAGCCUACAUGGUUCUGAGAGAAGGUGGUUACUCUCUGCCCUCAUGUGAAAGCACUUGAGCCAUGAGGGGUCAAUUAAUUGAGGCAGUGCUGUGAACAGGGAAUAUGUUCUUCACCCAGAUGGAUUUUUUUUACCUACCUGAGCUCUGAGGUCAGACCUACUGAAGGAAGACGGAAUUGAAGCUGUCUUUGCAGUCUGAAUAGGGAACUGCAUGAACAGAAGAAAAGUGGCUGCCAUGGAACAGACCAAAAGUCCACCUGUGCCAAAGUCCUGACUGUGGUAGCUGCUAACAGUAUGUGGUGAGCGAAGAGUAGGAGAAUUGGCAAGUACAUGUGAUACACUCCCUGAGUACUGCCUCCCUUCUGCCAUGUAGUUGCAGUUCAGAAGCAUACAGGUUUUGUGGGUUUAGUAUCUUCCCUCAGCUUUCUCUUCUGUGAAAUUUCAGUCUCUCCAUAAACCUAUGUAAACUUUAUUACCCACAGCAACCUUUAACAACAAGUUUCAGUAAGUCAGCUGCUACUCCUGACUUCGUCCAGCUGUGCUUUCCUUGCACCCUAAAACUUCAUAUAGUGAGAAGCACCAUUACAGGGAGUGGUAAAGUGUACAGAUACUGAAGUCAGCUGUGGUUUUUGGGACAGGGAGGGUAUGUCAAGAGCUAACUGAUAUUUGUUUGCUUUGACAGUUUGCAGCACUGGGAGUUGUCACUCAAGUGUUUUGUUUGGGUUUUUUUCAGGUAAUGCAAGGAUCUAUAUAGCAAAGAUAACUUCUCCCUUCCAUCCCCCCCACUGAUAAGAACUACUGAACAUAAAAUUUGGCAGCAUAAAUUUUUAACAAAUACAGACCAAAGGGGAAGGCCCUGAGGGGAGACCUAGUGGGAGGGAGGGAUAUUGUUUCAUGUAGCAGAUGAGAAGAUUCAUUUAGUUAUUCCAAGAAUUCCUGCAGUAGUCUCUCUCCACCACACAAACUUCAUAGUAUGAAGUGUUUUCUCAUGAACUGUUCAAUCCUUAGUCAGUGCAGCUGACCAUAUAUGUUAGGUUUAAAAAGGAGAAUGAAUAGAUCAGAUUCCAGAUUUAGUCUUUUGAAGAGGACCCCAUGGCUGUUAGGUGGUUGUUCGGAUUAUUUUGGAUGUAAUGAGUGAUGGUUUUAGAAUCCCAGAGCUCAGCAGUACUACUGCUGUUCCUUUCUAUCCCUACUACACUGUCUGAAAUGGCUAUUUAGGACAUCCCUCUCACAGCUAGUGAUGGAGCUAAAACCCCAAAACUGCAUCAGACAGGGUGUCAUGGGGUAGGUCAGCCAAGGAGAACAAUGACACUGAAUGCAAGAGAAACAGUAUUAACUUCUUUUAUAGGAAAAAUAUUUUAAGAUUUCCCAAAAAAGCUUGUUGAGCCUCUUCCAAUUUCAAACAAAACAUUUUAUUCCCAUGCUUUGCAUUAUUUCUGAAGUAUUCUAGAGAACAUAUAUACUAAAUGCCAGAAAUAAUACAACUUGCUCACACAGAUUUAAAAUAUCAAGUAUUACAUAAAGGUGUGCACAAACCCAAAAAUGUCUCAAGGGAUUGAUCAGAGCAGAAAUGGAAGAGAAUAUCUAUAGGAUACAAACAUUUACAAUAAAAGAUCUGGCAAAUAUUUAAAUUCUAUUUGCCUGGACCUUUCCAAGAGCUUCUAAAAUAUUUUUUACCAAGUUAAACACAAGAAGGAAUAUGCAAGACAAACUGGAAAUAUCAAACUUCAUUGAUAAAGGCAGUAUCUCGGAAUUCUUUUAACAGGCAUAAUGUAUAUGCAAUGAUGAGAGACAGAAAAGUUGAAUAACGUGUAAAUAUAUCCAUCAUCCAUUAGUAACAGCAAACAGCUGUAUUAAUUUACAAGAACCUGUACCAGUCCAACAUACCACAUCUUUCCAAUGUCCUACUAGUUUCUGUGAAAUAAAUAUUCUGGAAAGAUCCAUGUUACUUUGUUGUGGUUGGACACUGGCCCAGUGCCAGGCACCCAGGAGAGCCGCUCGCUCACCCUCCCCUGCCACAGCUGGGCAGGGGAGGGAAAAGGAAAAAAAAAUUAACAAACACUUCAUGAGUGAGAUAAGGACUGGGAGAAACACUUCAAGGGCAAAACAGGCUUAACUUAAGCUGUAAAAUGAAUUUGUUACUAACAGAAUCAGAGGAGGAUAAUGAGAAGUAAAAUAAGCCCUUAGAACACCUUUUCCUCCCAGCCCCUCCCUCCUUCCCACCGACAGCACAGGAGACAGGGCCUGGGGGUUUGGUCAGUCCAUCACCGGGAUUUCCUUCCGCUGCUCCAGGAGAGGAGUCUUCCCCUGUGAGGCCGUGGGUCCCUCCCAUGGGAGACAGUUCUCCUGAACUUCCCUGGUGUGGGUCCUCUCUCACGAGCAGCGGCCGCACCGCCCCUGCUGCAGCGUGAGCCCCUCCCACGGGCCCACAGCCCUCCCAAACUGCUGCGCCGGGGCUCUCUCCUUCCUCGGGGUGCAGUGCUCCAAGGACAGGCUGCUCCAGCCUGGCAGCAGGGCCCUCUCGCUCCAGCGGGUCUCCCAC